Molecule: transfer RNA, 92 nt
Filed under: Bryobacteraceae bacterium
Lineage: Bacteria; Pseudomonadati; Acidobacteriota; Terriglobia; Bryobacterales; Bryobacteraceae
Description: tRNA-Ser
Rfam family: tRNA
About the family: Transfer RNA (tRNA) molecules are approximately 80 nucleotides in length. Their secondary structure includes four short double-helical elements and three loops (D, anti-codon, and T loops).
Source: RNAcentral
GGAGAGGUGGCUGAGUGGUCUAAAGCAGCGGUUUGCUAAACCGUCGUAGGGCUAAAACUCUACCGCGGGUUCAAAUCCCGCCCUCUCCGCCA